UACGGGGGGGGCAAGCGUUGUUCGGAAUUACUGGGCGUAAAGGGCUCGUAGGUGGCCAACUAAGUCAACCGUGAAAUCCCUCGGCUUAACCGGGGAACUGCGUUUGAUACUGGAUGGCUUGAGUUUGGGAGAGGGAUGCGGAAUUCCAGGUGUAGCGGUGAAAUGCGUAGAUAUCAGGAGGAAUACCGAUGGCGAAGGCAGCCCCCUGGGUCGAUACUGACGCUCAUGCACGAAAGCGUGGGGAGCAAACAGG
Molecule: ribosomal RNA, 253 nt
Filed under: uncultured bacterium
Lineage: Bacteria
Description: partial 16S ribosomal RNA
Rfam family: Bacterial small subunit ribosomal RNA
Source: RNAcentral